Molecule: ribosomal RNA, 305 nt
Filed under: uncultured bacterium
Lineage: Bacteria
Description: bacterial SSU rRNA
Rfam family: Bacterial small subunit ribosomal RNA
Source: RNAcentral
AGGACCUACGGGGGGCAGCAGUGGGGGAUAUUGCACAAUGGGGGGAACCCUGAUGCAGCGACGCCGCGUGGGUGAAGGAGCGUUUCGGCGCGUAAAGCCCUAUCGGCAGGGAAGAAGGAGGACGGUACCUGACUAAGAAGCCCCGGCUAACUACGUGCCAGCAGCCGCGGUAAUACGUAGGGGGCAAGCGUUAUCCGGAUUUACUGGGCGUAAAGGGAGCGUAGGCGGCCUGCCAAGUCUGAUGUGAAAUACCGGGGCUCAACCCCGGGGCUGCAUUGGAAACUGGCAGGCUGGAGUGCCGGAGG